GAUGAACGCUGGCGGCGUGCCUAAUACAUGCAAGUCGAGCGAACGGACGAGAAGCUUGCUUCUCUGAUGUUAGCGGCGGACGGGUGAGUAACACGUGGAUAACCUACCUAUAAGACUGGGAUAACUUCGGGAAACCGGAGCUAAUACCGGAUGAUAUUUUGAACCGCAUGGUUCAAAAGUGAAAGACGGUCUUGCUGUCACUUAUAGAUGGAUCCGCGCUGCAUUAGCUAGUUGGUAAGGUAACGGCUUACCAAGGCAACGAUGCAUAGCCGACCUGAGAGGGUGAUCGGCCACACUGGAACUGAGACACGGUCCAGACUCCUACGGGAGGCAGCAGUAGGGAAUCUUCCGCAAUGGGCGAAAGCCUGCCGGAGCAACGCCGCGUGAGUGAUGAAGGUCUUCGGAUCGUAAAACUCUGUUAUUAGGGAAGAACAUAUGUGUAAGUAACUGUGCACAUCUUGACGGUACCUAAUCAGAAAGCCACGGCUAACUACGUG
Molecule: ribosomal RNA, 497 nt
Filed under: uncultured bacterium
Lineage: Bacteria
Description: partial 16S ribosomal RNA
Rfam family: Bacterial small subunit ribosomal RNA
Source: RNAcentral